Molecule: long non-coding RNA, 2420 nt
Filed under: Bemisia tabaci
Lineage: Eukaryota; Metazoa; Arthropoda; Insecta; Hemiptera; Aleyrodidae
Description: lncRNA ENSSSA2NGG002571
Source: RNAcentral
UUAAAAUCAUGCACAUCAGUAUCACAAGCUGCAAAACUUAAGCACGGCCUUUGAAAAUAGACACCUAAUCAAAUAAAGAAAAAAAAAGACUUAAUCACGCGGUUCAGUAAGAAGGAGGUAUCAGUGAUGUCAUGCCCAUAUUUUAUCAAAAAUAUAUUGCCUGUAGAAAGUGAAUGCACAUUUAACUUUGUUUUAUUGUAUAAUUUAAUUUCAAAAAGUUUCCAUCAAUUAUUGAAUAAGUCAUUUUCUUAUGCAAGCUCUUGUUUUCUACCAUUCUUCACAAUUUCAUGAGAUUUUUCUUCUCCUUUCGCAGCUCCUUAAAAACUCUCCCUCCCUUGCUUUCUGUUAAUUAUUGAAGAAAUUGACGCCCCUGUUUUGUUCCUUAAAGUGACUUCGUCCUUUUUUUGCCUUUUGCCUCGCAAGUUCUUAAUGUGUUGCGUAUUUUUUAUAUUUUAAUUUUUAAUAUCAACAUACUACAAAUAUAACUGCACAAAAAAUUAAAGGAAAAGAGAAAACGAAUGCACAAGGUGUUUGCAUGAAAUGGAAUCACCGACGAGACCUAAAAUGAGCCCAAGCAAUCAAAGCGUAAUCAGGCCCAGCCCGUCUCAAAUAAUUAGGACCAUCACAACGUCAGGUCUGAUCACGAUCAAAACAGCUGGAUCUAAAAUUGACUCUUAUGGUGCAUCGGCAGAUGGAUCUCCAACCAAUCAGUGCGAUGAAAAUGAAUUAAUUGAAAGAUGCGAAGCAGACAAUGACGAUGAAAGCUGCGACUCUCCGCUCGGUAUCCCUCCGGAGAAGGACAUAAACAGCGACCAGACAGCCGCGAAAAAUCUCUCGGUCUAUUCAAACAUGGUGGAAAACGGGAAAGAAAGCAAAGGAGAGAUGAUGGAAACGACGAAAAACGACGAGCAAACCUACUACCUAAAGGACGAAUCAUCCUCAACUGGCAAAGAUCCCAACGGAGAUCCGGACGGAGAUGCUAAGUUCAAUGACUACGAUGAAAAUAUGGGAAGCAGCGAGAUGAAAGAAGACACCGUGGAAAACUAUAAAGAACCCACGGCAGAGACGCAGGAAGAUGAGAAGUUCAUCGGCGAGCCCAGUCACCAAAUGGAGGGUGAAUCGGGGGAACAGUACAACAACUACCCCAUCAAAUUCACCCCCACGGCUAAAAUCAGGCCGACCGAGCAAGGAGAGUUCCACGAACAGCAACACAGUCACCAACCAUCGCAACAGCACAGUCAUCAGCACGAACAGUACUCGGACUUCAAAAACCAGAUCCUGUACUCGCCGCUCAACGGAGAGGAAAUGCACGCGACGACGGAUUUCUCUACUGCGGCCAGCAUCCUCAGGUCCAACCCGGAGCGGAUCAACAUCCACACGACGGCGGCAUCAACACCGACCACAUCCUCGAAAACCGAAGAGCAGCAACAGACUCAACACCUCAUGGAGCGACAGGUCAAGCUGAGCGACAACAACUCAAACUACGCCGUGUUGGAGUCGACCAACAGUAUGGAGUACACGAACUACGAGAAUCAGAAUGUUACCUACACGUCGUCGCCGUCCCAUUUCUACCACCACCAUAACCACAACCACCAUCAUCACUCGAUACACAAUAUCGGCUACCCCGGGGAGGGCAAGAACGUCAACAUGCACGGCAACGAGCAUAACGACAACCCCUCGGCCAUCUACUCGAUGAAGAUCAGCAAUCCGGAGCACAAUAUCAUCAGUGUCAAUAACUCGCGGUACCUCCAGAACUUUGACGAGGUCAAUUCUCAGGUCACCUUAUACAGUCCUACGGGGACAAACUUCAUCACGAAAUCCUCGGGGAACAGCAACGAAAACAUGAACCAUGACUCGUACUGGAAUAACAACAGCUCGAACAACACGAGCAGCGGUAGCAACAACAACCACCACAACAACAACAGCAGCACCAACAGCGUAAAUGGACACGAAUCGGCCGACUCGCCGGGCGUCAUCGAUUACGUCACUGCGGGAGGGGCGCAGUCCUCUUCCGGGUUCCCGGUCUCCAUCGCCGGGAACCUCCCCGUCAUGUCCAUCGAGGCCAUGGUCCCCAACAACGGAACAGCAUCCACAUUUCCGCCAACGGGACCCCCUACGCCGUCUUCGGACACAAUUCCUCGUCCAACUGGAUCGGCGAAUAUGACCCGAAUGGAAUGUUUGGAAUGGAUAACAUCAAGGAAUGUGUAAACUGUGCUGCAAGUACCACUCCUCUGUGGCGAAGGGAUGGCACGGGGCAUCAUCUGUGUAAUGCAUGCGGUCUGUACAAUAGAAUAAAUGGUGUGAAUCGACCUCCAAUCAGAACAGUCAGAAAAAAUUGCGCAGGUAAACUUUCAAACGUAUUUCUUGACAUUCAAAAUAUCUUGUUCGCACUCAAUUUUUUCAAGCUUGCUAUUUUUUUG